This 828-nucleotide ribosomal RNA is filed under the name uncultured bacterium. RNAcentral's name for it is "bacterial SSU rRNA". It matches the Rfam family "Bacterial small subunit ribosomal RNA", at positions 63 to 850 of the family's 1533-position model. The record is from RNAcentral.
CGAGCGAGUCUGCCUUGAAGAUCGGAGUGCUUGCACUCUGUGAAACAAGAUACAGGCUAGCGGCGGACGGGUGAGUAACACGUGGGUAACCUGCCCAAGAGAUCGGGAUAACACCUGGAAACAGAUGCUAAUACCGGAUAACAACAGAUGAUGCCUAUCAACUGUUUAAAAGAUGGUUCUGCUAUCACUCUUGGAUGGACCUGCGGUGCAUUAGCUAGUUGGUAGGGUAACGGCCUACCAAGGCGAUGAUGCAUAGCCGAGUUGAGAGACUGAUCGGCCACAUUGGGACUGAGACACGGCCCAAACUCCUACGGGAGGCAGCAGUAGGGAAUCUUCCACAAUGGACGCAAGUCUGAUGGAGCAACGCCGCGUGAGUGAAGAAGGGUUUCGGCUCGUAAAGCUCUGUUGUUGGUGAAGAAGGACAGGGGUAGUAACUGACCUUUGUUUGACGGUAAUCAAUUAGAAAGUCACGGCUAACUACGUGCCAGCAGCCGCGGUAAUACGUAGGUGGCAAGCGUUGUCCGGAUUUAUUGGGCGUAAAGCGAGUGCAGGCGGCUCGAUAAGUCUGAUGUGAAAGCCUUCGGCUCAACCGGAGAAUUGCAUCAGAAACUGUCGAGCUUGAGUACAGAAGAGGAGAGUGGAACUCCAUGUGUAGCGGUGAAAUGCGUAGAUAUAUGGAAGAACACCGGUGGCGAAGGCGGCUCUCUGGUCUGUUACUGACGCUGAGGCUCGAAAGCAUGGGUAGCGAACAGGAUUAGAUACCCUGGUAGUCCAUGCCGUAAACGAUGAGUGCUAAGUNNUGGGAGGUCUCCGCCUCUCAGUGCUGCA